Molecule: ribosomal RNA, 354 nt
Filed under: uncultured bacterium
Lineage: Bacteria
Description: partial 16S ribosomal RNA
Rfam family: Bacterial small subunit ribosomal RNA
Source: RNAcentral
CCUACGGGUGGCAGCAGUGAGGGAUAUUGGUCAAUGGAGGAAACUCUGAACCAGCAACGCCGCGUGAGGGAAGACGGCUUUCGGAUUGUAAACCUUUGUCCUUUGUGAAGUUGAUCACGGUAGCAGAGCAGUAAUACCCGGCUAACUACGUUCCGGCAGCCGCGGCAAGACGUAGGGAGCGGGCGUUGUCCGGAUUUACUGGGUGUAAAGGGUGCGUAGGCGGGUUGGCAAGUAAGGAGUGAAAUCCAUGGGCUCAACCCAUGAACUGCUAUUGAAACUGGCGAGCUUGAGUGAAGUAGAGGUAGGCGGAAUUCCAGGUGUAGCGGUGAAAUGCGUAGAGAUCAGGAGGAACAC